RNAcentral lists this ribosomal RNA (460 nucleotides) under uncultured bacterium. RNAcentral's name for it is "partial 16S ribosomal RNA". It matches the Rfam family "Bacterial small subunit ribosomal RNA", at positions 338 to 795 of the family's 1533-position model. The record is from RNAcentral.
CCUACGGGUGGCAGCAGUGAGGAAGAUUGGUCAAUGGGCGGAAGCCUGAACCAGCCAAGUAGCGUGCAGGAUGAAGGCCCUACGGGUUGUAAACUGCUUUUAUACGGGAAUAACGCGCCUUACGUGUAGGGCUUUGCAUGUACCGUAUGAAUAAGGACCGGCUAAUUCCGUGCCAGCAGCCGGGGUAAUACGGAAGGUCCGGGCGUUAUCCGGAUUUAUUGGGUUUAAAGGGAGCGUAGGCCGCGUGUCAAGCGUGCUGUUAAAUUGCCGGGCUCAACCCGGGCCUUGCAGCGCGAACUGGCGGGCUUGAGUCCGCGGAAAGCCGGCGGAAUUCGUCGUGUAGCGGUGAAAUGCUUAGAUAUGACGAAGAACCCCGAUUGCGAAGGCAGCUUGCUGCAGCGCAACUGACGCUGAUGCUCGAAAGCGCGGGUAUCGAACAGGAUUAGAUACCCUAGUAGUC